GUUUUCACUAUGCAGAUGAGAGACCUGGAGGAGACUUCAUGAUUUUAUUCAUCCCCCAAGAUUUCCUCAGGACUGGUACCAUUUUCCAUCACUGUCUUCUGCCGUCAGCAACAUGUGAGCUUUCUCCACAGGGAGAAGAAGGAAACUGCAUUGAAAGACACAGGUGAUUCACAACUGAAAUGAAAAUCAAAACGCUCAAGGAAGCUGGUUGAAAAUCAGAAUGAACGAAGAAAAGAAAGACCAAACUUUUUUCUCGUUUUCCCAAACUUUGAACUAAGUUUACGCAUUU
This 289-nucleotide long non-coding RNA is filed under the name Homo sapiens (human). RNAcentral's name for it is "HSALNT0312686". Lineage: Eukaryota; Metazoa; Chordata; Mammalia; Primates; Hominidae. The record is from RNAcentral.